CGCAGCUUGAGCGGCAUGGCUUUUGUUUUGCGAUGUAAAGGGAAAGUUAAAAAGGACUUGUGUCAUUUUUCAGAUCAGCUCUGAGGGAGCAGAGGACCCCGAGAAAAGCAGACUGAAGUCUCAGAAUGAAAAGCUAAAAGAUAACAUUGACUCAUUGCACGUCGAGCUGGAAGAAAUUCACAGAGUCCUGGAAUCCAAAGAGCAGAGACUGGAAAGCUGCCAUUGAAAAGAAGCUUAAGAAGCAGAAGCCAGCAGAACCUACAACCAUGGAGGUACCCUUCACCCGCAUGCAUAAACUGAUCUGAAUCUCAGCUUUAUUUUUCCUUCAGCUUGUUGUGGAUACAGAGUCUGUUCAAAAAAUAAAAGAACUUAGAAAGACUGAAGCAAUGCAGAAAAAGGAGAUUGACAGGUGUAAUACAAUUUGUGAAAGAGUACUUGUUCUUUCCACGGCCCUCUGUUGUUCUUAUUGUUUCUUAAUGUUAUCAGGCUCAGUAAGCAGUUGUGUAUGUCCAAUCAGGUGUGGGAAAUAAGUUUUUAAGACAGAUGUACACAGCAAAGUUAUGUUACUCUAAAUGUUGUAUGACUCCAUGAGUUUUUCUGCAUUGACUGUUUCUCUCUUAAGUUUCCAUGCCAUCAAGGUUGAGAUGUUCUUACGCCAAACGUUGUAUUCUGCACAACACUUCAGUCAGCUUUGUGCUCAGUAGCUUCUUUGAAAGUGCUACAGAUUAGUCCACUUUAAAUGAAUAUGCUCUUCCAUGAUAUUUACACCAAAACAUGUCUUUUUCUUCAUCAAAGCUGAACUUACCACACUGAAAGAGGACAGGAGCUUUAAUCAUGUAACCCUUAAUGAAAUCUGCACCUGUGGCCUGUCCCGCACACACACAGAGCACAUAUACAGUAGAGGUUAUCCCAGAAGAGACUUUAACAGGUGCACGACCAUUAAGCCCCUCAUCUCUGGCCUCAAUUGGUGAAGGCUGCUGAUGAAUAUGCAUAAGUUUUGUUUUUGUUUUGCGCUGCACCCCACACCCUAUUUACCAGGAGGACAAAUGCAACUCAGAUCACCUCGUUGAGGCCUGCCUGCGUUAGAUGUCAUUUAUUACACAAAUAAUGCACAUGAAAACAGAAGGUCUUGCUAGGAUCAUUUACCCAAUAUUUGCCAUUAUACAUAUUAUUUUGUAUAAUAUACACUUACAAUUAAAAGUUUGUAAAUUUUGUUUUACUGUUUAAAG
Molecule: long non-coding RNA, 1229 nt
Organism: Cyprinus carpio carpio
Lineage: Eukaryota; Metazoa; Chordata; Actinopteri; Cypriniformes; Cyprinidae
Source: Ensembl